RNAcentral lists this ribosomal RNA (1513 nucleotides) under Batrachoseps nigriventris (black-bellied slender salamander). RNAcentral describes it as "16S ribosomal RNA". It matches the Rfam family "Bacterial large subunit ribosomal RNA", at positions 389 to 2830 of the family's 2925-position model. The record is from RNAcentral. Lineage: Eukaryota; Metazoa; Chordata; Amphibia; Caudata; Plethodontidae.
UAGCCUACCAACACUAUACCUAACUUAGUACAAUAAAUCAUUUAUUUAUGCUAGUAUUGGCGACAGAAAACUUUUUAGCGCAAUAAACAAAGUACUGCAAAGGAAAAAUGAAAUAAAAAUGAAAUAAACUAUAAAAAUAUAAUAAAGCAAAGAUAAAAGCCUGUACCUUUUGCAUAAUGGUCUAGCAAGUCCAACUCAACAAAAAGAAUUUUAGUUGAUAGUCCCGAAACCGAGCGAGCUACCCUAAAGCAGCAAUAAAGAGCGAACCCGUCCCUGUGGCAAAAGGGUGGGAAGACUUUAAGGUAGUGGCGAUAAACCUAACGAGCCCGGACAUAGCUGGUUACUUGAGAAUGAAUUUAAGUUCAACUAAAAGCAUUAAAAACACUAAAAGUAUAAAUACCGCUUUUAUUUUAACCAACUGAGGUACACCCCAAUUGGUAAAGGAAACAGCCUAAAUUAAUGAAUAAUGAUUAUAAUAAAUAGGAAACAAGACUAGUAGGCCUAAAAGCAGCCACCUAAUAUAGCGUCAAAGCUUUACUUAUAGACCCCCUAAUAUUUUAAUAAAAAAUCUAAACUCAUAAAAAAAAUCAAGUCAAUCUAUAUUAUAGAUAAAUUACUACUAGAAUUAGUAACAAGAAAAAAAUUCUAAAAUACACGUGUAAAUCAGAACGAAUCAGCCACUGAUAAUUAACUAUAAGCCAUAUAAACAAGAAAUAUAAGAUUAAAAGAUAGUUAACCCAACACAGGAGUAUUACAAAUGAUUUAAUGUCUGAAAAGGAACUCGGCAAGCUAGAGAUUCGCCUGUUUACCAAAAACAUCGCCUUUUGAAAUACAAAUAUAAGAGGUACUGCCUGCCCAGUGACACUUGUUCAACGGCCGCGGUAUUAUGACCGUGCAAAGGUAGCGUAAUCACUUGUCUUUUAAAUAAAGACCGGUAUGAAUGGCAAAACGAAAACUCAACUGUCUCCUCAGACAAGUCAGUGAAAUUGAUUUCCCCGUGAAGAAGCAGGGAUAAUAAUAUAAGACGAGAAGACCCUAUGGAGCUUUAAACCAAAACUACCCACCCUCUUAAAAUUUUAAAAAGUGGAGUUAGCCAUAGGUUUUGGGUUGGGGCGACCACGGAGUAAAAAUUAACCUCCGAGAAAUAAUUAAGAAGAACAUUUCAAAAAAUAAUAAUGUUAUAUAUUGACCCAAUAAUUGAUCAACGAACCAAGUUACCCUAGGGAUAACAGCGCAAUCCUCUCAAAGAGUCCCUAUCGACGAGAGGGUUUACGACCUCGAUGUUGGAUCAGGACCCCCAAAUGGUGCAAAAGCUGUUAAAGGUUCGUUUGUUCAACGAUUAAUGUCCUACGUGAUCUGAGUUCAGACCGGAGUAAUCCAGGUCAGUUUCUAUCUAUAAAUAAUUUUUUCUAGUACGAAAGGACCGAAAAAAUAAGGCCUAUAAGAAACUUAAGCCUUUAAAAAACUUCUGACCAUAAUAAAGAAGAUAAUACAACAAGAGUCUAACGACUUA